AUCAAAACUCCGAUGGUGGAUCAGGUAAUUCAGUUGCUCUUCUGUUUUGUCUGGGAAAAUUCAAUAAUCAAUUCCUCUCUCUUUUCUGUCUUUUGCAUAAUCUGGGUUGCAGAUGCUCAGCAACAAAACCUUUCUGGAAGGGGUGAUAAAUCGAGCUCCACUUCGCCGUGUGGGAGAUCCGAAGGAGGUGUCAUCUUUGGUGGCAUUCCUCUGUCUACCAGCAUCAUCUUACAUUACUGGACAGACUAUUUGUGUCGAUGGUGGCGUGACUGUUAAUGGUUUUGAGCCAAACCUGUUAUAGGAACAUCAUUAAGACUCAAAAAUCUUAGCUUCCUCUACCGCUUUCCUGUUUGGAUCCUGUCUUUUUCCUGAAUAAUCUGUUUGUGAUGGUAAGUACUCUUCUGUUUUUUCGGUGUGGGGUUCAUCUGAAAACAUUGUUGCAUGAUGCUUAUAAUAAUCGUUGGAAAGUUUGUAAGAAGUUACUUAUCAUUGGAUGAGAUUCUUGUGAUGAGUGUUUCCUAUAAUCAGAUUUAUCUUGUUAUAAGGUUGUUGUUGUAGUAGUAACUGCAAUUCAAAGGAAAUUAAUUUAGUAUAAUACUGUAGGUUGUUGUCUAGUGUCUACUACCUCAGCUUCUCAUCCCACCCAACUCUCCCUCUUUAACUACCUAAUAUGAAAUUAAAAUAUGAAUUUAACAACCUGUCCGUCUUGUCCACCGUUUCUUUGGCUCUUCAGUCUUCAGACUUCGGCCUUUUAAAGCAGGACCUAAAAGGUUUGGGCCCAAAUGUUGGAAAAACUUAACACAGGCUGCAAUUUUGGGCCCCAAAACUCUUUCCAACUGGGCCUGAACACUUUUAGGCCCAAGAUGCUUUAGAUUUUGGACUCGCAGACCAUGUAUAUGCCCUCAACACCACCAUGCUUUACUUCAUCCCUUCCUUUCAAAUUAAAAGGAAAUUCAAAUUUCAUGAUGUUACAACUUGCUCAUUGAUGUACAUUCCCAUUCACAAAAAAUAAAAUAUUAAAUGCACUUAUCCAAAAUAUCUUCAUACCUACCUAUUUUUAUUUUUAAAAUAAAAUUUAAACGUUGAAUAACAAAAAUACCAUUUUUGUCAUCCUUACCCUUCACCCUUCCGAAACCCUAAUCUAAUCUUCCCUUUCUCUCUUCUUUCAUUUUCCAUCUUCUUAAAUGGGAAAAUAACGAUCAUCAGAGCCCACCGUGACUUGUGACAGGUUCGAUCCCUUAACAAUGACGAGGCCAUUAUGGAUAAUAUAAGGAUAAGCAUUACAAUAUUUCACUCCUUCACGUGCAUCUCCCUUCACACAAAGAUGCUUCCUUCACUCAUUUUAUAUUAAUAAUAUGAUAAAUUAUACAAAAAAAAAACAAUUUUUUUUUUAUCAAAAUUGUUUUCAACAAUAUUUCAAAUAUAUAUAUAUAUAUAUAUAUAUAUAUAAAUUUGGAAAACUUGUAUUUUGGAGCUGCUAUUUAGAAAUUAUAUAGUUUUCGGAACCCAAAAAUGAGAAAUAUGAUAAUCAAAUUUUAAUAUGAAAAGUAUUAUCGUUUUUGUGCACUUUGAGUAGACUUCAUCUUUUGUGCCCAAAUGGCCCCUCCAUGUCUCCAGCUCAGCAUUCUUAGCAUCAUCCCAACCUUUGUGUCAGUAGAACCAUUGAAAUUAAGAAAAAAAAAAACACAAAAAUCUAAAUUUGUAACUUCUCAAAAAAAAAAAAAAAAAAACCCAAUCUGCAAGUUUUCAAUUUGCUCAUUUGGAAAACAUUUUUUUUUAUAAAUAUCAAUAUUAUUUUUAAAAAAUGGUGACUUUUAGCUUUUAAUUAAAACUAAGAACAAGAAGUUAUUCCAAAUAUGACUUAUGUAUUUAUUCAGUGAAAGUAAUUUUUUCAUUUAAAAAAAGUAAUUUCUUGGUGAUAAAAAGAAAUAUUUUUUUAGUAGCUUUUCGAUGCUAUAAAAAAAGUGUUGGCUAAGUUUGUAUGAUAAAAUUGGUGUUAUUUAUAUACCAGCACUUUCGCUAGGGUCUUAUUUAUUGGGAAAACUGAUUAAUAAACUAAUCUUCUGUUUUGUUUUCAGUUCAAAGAGUGGUAGAGUAGAGGAGGAGGCAUGGCUCAGACAUUUGGGUGCAGCUCUGGAGAUAGUAGAUGGUCUCUCAAGGGAAUGACUGCUCUUGUAACUGGUGGAACUAAAGGAAUUGGGUUGGUGUUACCUGUUUUUAUGUCUUUGGGUUUGGACUAUACCUUCCUAUAUAUAAACGUAUGUAUCAAUUCUGCAGGCAUGCAAUUGUGGAGGAACUGGCUGGAUUAGGAGCAACCAUACACACGUGUUCUCGAAAAGAAACCGAGCUCAAUGAAUGCUUGAAGGAUUGGAAAGCUAAAGGUUUUGGAGUGAGUGGUUCAGUGUGUGAUGUAUCCUCUCGGGCCCAAAGGGAGAAGCUAAUGGAGACUGUCUCUUCUGUGUUCAAAGGGAAGCUGAAUAUCCUUGUAAGUUCCUCUAGUCUCUAAGGUUCCGAUCCAUGAUAUUCCACAUACUUUGUCGAACUUCCAACAAUUUGAGUUCCCCUACUUGAUAUAUAUAUUUUGGUUCCGGAUUCAGGUCAACAACGCUGCUAUUGUUAUUCAGAAACCAACAGUAGAGGUCACGGCAGAAGAGUUCUCAACAAUCAUGGCCAUAAAUUUUGAAUCUGUGUAUCAUCUGUCCCAACUCGCACACCCCCUUUUAAAGGCAUCAGGAGCGGGAAGCAUUGUAUUCAUCUCCUCUGUUGCCGGCGUAGUGUCAAUCAAGUAUCUGUCUGCUUAUUCAGUAACCAAAGGUAUUUCAUUACAUGAUCCACAUUAUAUAUAUAUAUAUAUAUUGCAAGUUCUUGGGUUGUGGCCCUUGUGGCCUUCUCGGCGUGUCAUUAUCAUUAUCAUAUUGUGAUUUUUCAGGAGCAAUGAAUCAGCUUACAAAGAAUUUGGCAUGCGAGUGGGCGGAAGACAAUAUUAGAAGUAAUGCAGUUGCUCCUUGGUACAUCAAAACUCCGAUGGUGGAUCAGGUAAUUCAGUUGCUCUUCUGUUUUGUCUGGGAAAAUUCAAUAAUCAAUUCCUCUCUCUUUUCUGUCUUUUGCAUAAUCUGGGUUGCAGAUGUUCAGUAACAAAACCUUUCUGGAAGAGGUGAUAAAUCGAGCUCCACUUCGCCGUGUGGGAGAUCCGAAGGAGGUGUCAUCUUUGGUGGCAUUCCUCUGUCUACCAGCAUCGUCUUACAUUACUGGACAGACUAUUUGUGUCGAUGGUGGCGUGACUGUUAAUGGUUUUGAGCCAAACCUGUUCUAGGAACAUCAUUAAGACUCUCAAAAAUCUUAGCUUCCUCUACCGCUUUCCUGUUUGGAUCCUGUCUUUUUCCUGAAUAAUCUGUUUGUGGUGGUAAGUACUCUUCUGUUUUUUCGGUGUGGGGUUCAUUUGAAAACAUUGUUGCAUGAUGCUUAUAAUAAUCGUUGGAAAGUUUGUAAGAAGUUACUUAUCAUUGGAUGAGAUUCUUGUGAUGGGUGUUUCCUAUAAUCAGAUUUAUCUUGUUAUUGUAGUAAUAGGAUUGAAAGAAAAAUGCAAAUAAUCAUAAAAGGAUGAUGAAAAUCGGGAAGAGUUCAUCAUUUUUACUUAUUCAAAUAUUACACCAUCUCUUAUUUACAAUAAAUUUCAAAGAGUGUAAGUGAAACCAACCUUAAAUUAAUUUUGUUUGAUAAAUUUAGAUGAAAUUCAACAAGUGUGAAUCUUUAAUUUUUUUUCAUUUCAAUUAAUUUGGUAUCUAUUAUGAGGUUGCCCAUCAAGCUAAAAAUGACCAAAUAUGAUAUAAGCAUGAAGUCUUUGUUAUAUCUCGGAGAUUAAGAAUUGAUUCCAAUACUUUAUAACUUCCUCUUUUUACUUUAUAUAUCCAUGAAUUUAAGAUAGGUCCCUCACAUGUUUAGCUUCUCCCCUUGACGUACGUAGUGUCAUAUGGACAAUAAUUAAUGCUUGUUCAGCUAAGGUCAAAUAUAUGAAAACAAAUAAGAUUCAUUCACGUAAAACAUACAUGUAGCAAAGAGACGAAGGAAAGUGGGUUCUGUGAUCUAUCACACAUCAUGGAAAAAGCUGUGGUACCAUGGCUUUUCCAGGACUUUUCCUUGCAUAAUGGUACUGACAACAGUAUGCUAUUCUGUUGUUACUCUUAAGAUAUUUUAAUAUAAAGUAGCGCGUAUGUACUAUAUACAAUUCAGUGACGCCAUCUAACACGUUAGCCAAUAAGGUUACAAAUUUUAAUUUUAUAUUAAUAAUAUGAUUUGGGUAUGCUCCAUAUUUUAAAAUAUAAUUGAAUCAUAAAUAUCUAGAACUAGAAAUCCUUUUGAGGGACCAAUAACAUAAAUCAUUAAAAUUUUAUAAUUUGAUAUUAUAAAUUCCUAAUUAAAUUUUAAAAUAUAUUAAAUUUAUUUGAUAUAAAUAUAUAUAAAAAUAAAGAAAAAAAUUAAUAUUUUCAUAUGAUAAAUUAUACAAAAAAAAACAAAUAUAUUUUUUUUUAUCAAAGUUGUUUUCAACAAUAUUUCAAAAAUAUAUAUAUAAAUUUGGGAAACUUGUAUUUUGGAGCUGCUAUUUAGAAAUGAUAUGGUUUUCAGAACCCAAAAAUGGGAAAUAUGAUAAUCAAUUUUUAAUAUGAAAAGUAUUAUCGUUUUUGUGCAUUCUGAGUCGGCUUCAUCUUUUGUGCCCAAAUUGCCCCUCCAUGUCUCCAGCUCAGCAUUCUCAACAUCAUCCCAACCUCCAUGUCAGUAGGACCAUUGAAAUUAAGAAAAAAAAAAACACUAAAAUCUAAAUUUGUAACUUCUCAAAAAAAAAAAAACCCAAUAUGCAAGUUUUCAAUUUGCUCAUUUGGAAGCUUUUUCUCAUCUUUUUCUCUCAUUUUAGUUUAGAAACUCAAAUCCAAAACUCUAAAUGUGAUAUGUUGUGGAAUUGUUUUCAUAGUCCUUAACAAGAUGCAUGCGGCAUGUACUGAACUUUAACCUAAUUCCUUCUACCAAUUUUUCUGGCCCCAAGUUACUAGGGACUAUGGCUCCGAUUGGGUGGUUUUUGAGUAGUCAAAAACCAUUUUUAAAGCUUAGUAAAAAAUUUUAUGCCCCUCAUUUUAUUUAAACAAUUUAUAACUUAAAAAAAUAAGAAAAUAAAAAAAAAUGUUUUUUUAAGCUUUAUUUUGACUUAUUCAAAAAGUUUUUUUAUUUUUUUUAUUUUUAUGUUUAAUACAUUUUUUAUAAUUUCAAUAUUAUUUUUAAAAAAUAGUGACUUUUAGCUUUUAAUUAAAACUAAGAACAAGAAGUUAUUCCAAAUAUGACUUAUGUAUUCAUUCAAUGAAAGUAACUUUUUCAUUUAAAAAAAGUAAUUUCUUGGUGAUAAAAAGAAAUAUUUUUUUAGUAGCUUUUUGAUGCUAUAAAAAAAGUGUUGGCUAAGUUUGUAUGAUAAAAUUGGUGUUAUUUAUAUACCUGCACUUUUGCUAGGGUCUUAUUUAUAGGGAAACUUGUGUUUAAUAUGCUCAAUUCUAUUUCUUUGUAUGGCUAUGCAAUUGUUCAGAUUUGGCAACACUAAUCAAUAAAUGUACGUUAUAUUUGAAACAUUGGAAUAAAAAAAAGAAUAAGAGUUAAUUUUAUUUUCAAUUUAUUACUAUAUUUGAAUUAUUUUUUACAAUGAUAAUAGAAUUAAAAAGAAAAUCACUUAGUAACCCUUAGGUACUACCUUAAUAUACCUUAAAUAACCUUAAUCGAUCUUAGAUAUUAUCUUAGUUACACUUGGGUACUACCUAUGUGAAGCCUCAAAACUUCAUUUGUAGACAUUACUUCAUGUGUGAACAUUAGAGAUGACAUUAUGUGCACCUUUAAUAAGUGUUACUAAGGUAGUACCUAAGGUACAAUCAACACUAUAUCAAAGGUGCACAUAAUGUCAUGCUCUAAUGUUCACAAAUAAAGUAAGUAAUGUUUACAAAUGAAGUUUCCAGGCUUCACACAGGUAGUAUCCAAGUCUAAUUAAGUAGUACCUAAGGUCGGUAAGGUAGAUUAAGGUAAUACCUAAGGGUUACUAAGGUAGUACCUAAGGUACAAUCACCACUAUAUCAAAGGGGCACAUAAUGUCAUGCUCUAAUGUUCACAAAUAAAGUAAGUAAUGUCCAUAAAUAAAGUUUCGAGGCUUCACACAGGUGGUACCCAAGUUUAACUGAGAUAAUACCUACAAUUAGUUAAAAUUAGUACCUACAAUCAGUUAAGAUAGUACUUAAGAUAAAUUAAUGUAGUACCUAAAGGUUACUAAGGUAGUACCUAAAGGUUACUAAGGUAGUACCUAAGGUACAGUAAAUACUAAAGAACAAUAAAUAAAAAUUAAUUACCUUCGUAUUUCGAGUAGGGGUUAGGGAAAAAUGUGACAGAAUGACAGGAAGACGAGACAUUUUUUUUUAGGAAACCAAUAUUUUGGAUUUCACCUUUUCGUCCAAGUACGCUUUGCUAUAGAAAAAUCAAUAUCAUAGUUGCGCCUAUUGAAACCAUCUUUUAACUGGACGUUCUUAGGAUGGAGUGCUCCAUUUGGUUGUUGAGAAUUUAGACAAGAAAGAAAAAUGCAGGUUGGAGUUUUGGAUUAAGGGUUUCUUUUCUCAAAUUGAAGAAAUUUUAGGAAAUUUUAAAUGGGUUUUAGGAUCGUCUGGGUGAUAAAGCCAAGAGAAAUAGAGAAAGAAAUGUUUCCAACCUUUAAGAGGAAAAAGUUUCAGAUUUGGGAAAUUUGAGAUGGUUCCCGGGUCAAGUGUUUUUUUGUGUUUUAGAUUUGAGAAGUUUCAAAUUCUUGGAGAAGAUAUAAAUAUGUAGAUUUGAAUUUUAAGGGUUUCUUUUUUGAAAUGAGAGAAAUUUUGGAAAAUUUUAUAGGUGUCUUUCUAAUUCGGCUAGGUAAGGAAGUGAAGAGAGUUGAGAGAAAAUGUUCCCAAAUGAGAGAGAUGGAAAGUUUUUGAUUUGGGAAAUUAGAGGUGUUGUCAGGAUGGGUGUUUAUGAGAACUUUCAAAUUCUAAUUUUUGUGUUUUGUUUAAUUUCAGAAGGUCUUGUUGACAUGAAAAGCUGACUUACUGCUGACAUGGAGACAUUGAGGGACAAUCUGGGAAUAGAAAAUGUAAACAUGACAUAGUGCAUGAGAACGAUAAUAUUUUCUCCAAUAACAGGGAAAUAUCAUAUUUCAUAUACUUGGGGUUCGAAAAGCAUAUAAUUUUCAAAUCACAGACUGAAAACACAAGUUUCCCAUAAAUAUACUUAAAGCAUGUUUGAUAACAAUUUUGAAAAAUAAUUUUCGAAAAUAGUUAUUUAAAAUUGUUUUUUGAUGUUUACAACAUAAAAAAAAAAAAAAAACAUGUUUGACAACCUAAAAUAAUUUUUAUAUCUAAUAUUUUAUUUUUAAUAAUUCGAUAUAUUUGUAUAAUUAUUUUUAAAAAUAGCUGUAAAAAAUAAGUGAAAACAAGUAAAGAUGUUAUCCGAAAACAUUAUAUUUUUUAUUUUUAAAAACAAAAAAUAGUUUUUCUUAUUCUCAAACAAGUUUUCCUGUUUUUUACGAAGAAAAAAUUAUUGUCAAACAAUCCCUUAUAUACUUGUGUUUUAUCAAGUGGUGAAAUAUCUUUGUAUGAAUUAUAUAGCAACUCAUAAGAGUAAGAGAAAAAGAGACAAUUUUAAAAGUGCAUAUGACAAGUGGAAAUUAUUAGAAAAGAGGCAAUUUUAAGAAUGGAUUUGAUAUGUGUCACAAAGACCACUAAAAUUUGGUGUGAAUAUAUAAAUAAGUUUUAAAUUUUGUUGAUUAACAUAUCUAUAAAUUUUUUUAUUUAUAAAAUUUAAUUUUUAGAGAAAUUUUAGAUAAAAAGAUUUUAGAUCUAUUCAAUCAAAAAUUGAAAGAGUAACUUAAUGUAUUUACUCUAAGCCUCAUGGUGUGUGAAUUAAACCAACCUUCAAAGAAAAAUAGAAAAAAAAAAAAGUGAAUCAUAAUAAAAAGGAAAGUAGUCAAAAUCAAAAGGAGAAUCAAAUUUGAUUUCCAUAUUAGUGAUUUUUUAAAAAAAAUUCUAUUAUCAUUGUAAAAAAUAAUUCAAAUACAUUAAUAAAUUGAAAAUAAACUUAACUCUUAUUCUCAUUUCUUAUUCCAAUGUUUCAAAUAUAACGUCCAUUUAUUGAUUAGUGUUGCCAAAUCCGAACAAUUGCAUAGCAAUACAAAGAAAUGGAAUUGAGCAUAUAAAACACUUUUUUUUUAUAGUAUCAAAAAGCUACUGAAAAAAAUAUUUCUUAUCUCCAAGAAAUUACUUUUUUAAAAUGAAAAAAUUACUUUCAUUGAAUGAAUACAUAAGCCGUAUUUGGAAUAACUUCUUAUUCUUAAUUUUAAUUAAAAGCAAAAAGUCACAAUUUUUUAAAAAUAAUAUUGAUAUUAUAAAAAAUGUAUUAAACAUAAAAAAACCUUUUUGAAUAAAUCAAAAUAAAGCUUUAAAAAAAACAUUUUCUUGAUUUUCAUAUUAAGUUAUUUUUUAAGUUAUAAAUUAUUUAAAUAAAAUGAGCAGCAUAAAAAAUCUUAUAGAGCUUUAAAAAUGGUUUUUGACUACUCAAAUCCACCCAAUCGGAACCAUCAUCCCGGUAACUUGGGGCCAGAAAAAUUGGCAAAAGGAAUGAGGUUAAAGUUCAGUACGUGUUGCAUGCAUCUUAUUAAAGACCAUAAAAGCAAUUCCAUAAUAUAUCACAUUUGGAGUUUUGGAUUUGGGUUUUUAAACUAAAAUGAGAGAAAUUUUGGGUUGUCGAAAGCGAAGAAAGAUGAGAGAAAACUUUCAAAUAAGUAAAUUGAAAACUUACAGAUUGUGUGUGUGUGUUUUUUUUUUUUUUUUUUAAAAAAAGUUAUAGAUUAAGAUUUUAAUAUUUUUUUUUUCUUAAUUUCAGUGGUUUGAUUGAUAUAGAGGUUGAAAUGAUGUUGAGGAUGCUAAGCUGGAGACAUGAAUGGGCAACUUGGGCAUGAAAGAUGGAGCCAGCUCAGAGGCAUAAAAACGAUAAUACUUUUUAUAUUAAAAAUUGAUUUUCAUAUUAAAUUUUAUACAUCUAUUUUAAAACAAUUAAAAUUUUAUUCAAUUUUCAAUUAUAAUAUAUGCACUGCCUCUCGCGGGUCGAUACUGCUGACGAGUGCAUGAAAUUAUUAUAAAUAUCUCAUGGAAUGAGGACAGAUUAAAGAAGAGGAGAGAGAGAGAGAGAGAGGGAGAAGAAGAAGACAACCAAAAAAGAAAAGGAAGACAGCAUUGUAAACAUAGAAAAUGGAAAGUAUUGGAAAUAUUUCAUGAAAUCGGAGUAAACAACAAAACAAAAUAAAAUACUUUUAAUCCCUGUUUCCUACUUCUGUCAUAAAGUAUGGAUAGAGAUGAGACGAAGGAGGAGAAGGAGGAGAAGGAGGAGCACUCAGCUUUCACCGAUACUGCAGUGUGUUGUGGUGGUGUAGCAUAUGGUAGGAUGUCAUUCUUGCUCCAAAAGUGUGGGCAGAUCCAUUUUUAUUUUCCUUUUUUCAUCUCUGUCCUCACUGAUUCGUUUUGGGUAUCCAUCAAUAUUUAUCAGUGGGCUUGGUGUUAGUCAAAAGCCACCAAUUUUUCUUUCCUUUUUUUUUUUCCCAUAUAUUAGAAUGAAAUGUUGUUGUCCAUUUUAGGGGAAGGCGUUAUGCUGAACUGAACUGUGCGAGGGGAAUGAAAAUUAAUUUAGGGGUUUUCUUCCUCCUCUAUUUUUGGCUCUCUUUCAUGAGGGUACAGAUUCUCUUUUUUUCUCUCGGAGUGUUUGGAUUGUUUCAUUCCAUUUAACUAUUUUUGCAGCAUAUUCCGAGUGUUAUAGGUAUUGGGUAAUCAGUAAUACAGAAAAUGUAAUAUAAUUUUGUACUAUGUAGUUUUGGACUUGGGGUAGGAUGAGUUUAAUUUAUGUAGAUUCAUGUCACUAUUCUCAGCCUUCAAUGCAUUGAUUUCUCCAGAUUUUGAUAUAUAUAUAUAUAUAUAUAUACAAACUGCAAUGGGAAUAAAAAGGAUGGUUGUUUCUUCAAGAAUUCUGAGAAAAAAAAAGGGGGUGGGGGGGCAAGAGAGGUUUGAGGAGGCCAUUGGGACUGUUAUCAGUUCUGUGUCUUUUGUUUUCAAGUUGUAAGAAGUCCCUGUUAUGCCAUUUGCUAUGUUGUUUCUGUCCAAUUUUCAGUUGAAAGAGUGGUAGAUUAGAGAAGGAGGAAUGGCUCAGACAUCUGGAUGCAGCUCUGGAGAUAGUAGAUGGUCUCUCAAGGGAAUGACUGCUCUCGUAACUGGUGGAACUAAAGGAAUUGGGUUUGUGAUGUUACCUGUAUUCUAUGUCUUUGGUUUGGACUACACCUUCCUUCCCAUAUAUAAAUGUAUGUAUCAAUUAUGCAGGCAUGCAAUUGUGGAAGAACUGGCUGGACUAGGAGCAACCAUACACACAUGUUCUAGAAAAGAAACCGAGCUCAAUGAAUGCUUGAAGGAUUGGAAAGCUAAAGGUUUUGGAGUGAGUGGUUCAGUGUGUGAUGUAUCCUCUCGGGCCCAAAGGGAGAAGCUAAUGCAGACUAUCUCUUCUGUGUUCAAUGGGAAGUUGAAUAUCCUUGUAAGUUCCUCUAGCCUGUAAAGUUCCAACCUGUGAUCUUAUACAUAAUUUGUUGAACUUAUUACAAUUGAGUUCCCCUGCUUGAAUUUUUGUUGGAUUCAGAUCAACAAUGCUGCUAUAAGUAUUCAGAAACCAACAAUAGAGGUCACAGCUGAAGAGUUCUCAACAAUCAUGGCCACAAAUUUUGAAUCUGUGUACCAUCUGUCCCAAAUCGCACACCCCCUUUUAAAGGCAUCAGGAGCCGGAAGCAUUGUAUUCAUCUCCUCUGUUUCCGGCAUAGUGGCACACAAGAAUAUCUCUGCUUAUUCAGUAACCAAAGGUAUUUCAUCACAUGAUCCAUGGUAUAUUCCAAGUGCUAGGAGUAAAUUCCUAUUUACCAGAGCAAUACUGAACAAGAGAAACAUAUAGAAUUUAUAGCGGUUCUCUUCUAAAGGGAGAGCUACAUCCAUUUUGCCAUUGUAGAUUUUCAUUAUGAAAAAAAAAAAAACCUACAGAACGAUCUCAGGUCUUACAAUAAUUAUCUCAUCUCUGAUUUUCCACAGAGAAAACAGUCACCAUGCAUGUACAAAAUAACUAUAAUAUCCCUUUGAUUGAUUCUCAGUCACCAGGAAAAGUGUAUAUUGUAAUUAGCAAGGCUCCACACAACUGAACAGCAAGUCCUUGGAUUGACCAUCUGUCAUUAUCAUUUUGUGAUUUUUCAGGAGCAAUGAAUCAACUUACAAAGAAUUUGGCAUGCGAGUGGGCGAAAGACAAUAUUAGAAGUAAUGCUGUAGCUCCUUGGUACAUCAAAACUCCAAUGGUGGAGCAGGUAAUUUCUAAUUUCCCUUCACAUCAUUUAGUUGCUCGAAUUCCCUUCUUUUUUUCUUGGUCUGGGAAAAUAGAAUAAUUGACUCGUCCUUCCUUCUCUGUCGUUUACAUUCUCUGGGUUCCAGAUGCUCACUAACCAAGCCUUUCUGGAAGAGGUGAUAAAUCGAGCUCCACUUCGUCGUGUGGGAGAUCCAAAGGAGGUGUCAUCUUUGGUAGCAUUCCUCUGCCUACCGGCAUCAUCUUACAUUACUGGACAGAUUAUUUGUGUUGAUGGUGGCAUGACUGUUAAUGGUUUUGAGUCAAACCUGCUCUAGGAACAUCAUAUGUGAUGGUAUUAUAGCCCUAAUUUGGCUGGCAUGUAUGGAGACUCUUUCAAACAUCUUAGCUUCCUCUACUGCUUCCAUGCCUGGAUCCUUUCUUUUUCCUGAAUAAUCUGCUUGUCAUGCCAAAGUCUUUAGUUUUUUUGGUGUGGGGUUCCCUUGAAAACCUUGCUGCAUGAUGCUUAUAAUAAUGUUUGGAAAGUUUGCUAAUUUUUAUUUGGGUUCAAAUUUUAAUUUUUCAAAAAGUUUCUUAUUAUUUGAUGAGAUUCUUGUGAAGGGUGUUUUUAUAAGGAUUUUAAUUCCAUACAUAAAUCAUACAUCUUUAAUCUCAAUACCAUUGAAAUAUAUAUCCAAUCCUUUGUUGUUCUUUCGUUUUUUUGUAACUUAAUUGUAGUAGGAUCGGAAAUAUGCGAACACUUUCUACUUUUGACCAUUUGCUUUGCUAAAUUAGACCAACUUUUCAUAAUACAAUUCUCAAGUAUUUCUUCAUUUUCAUUACAAUGAUCAUGCAUGGAUAUGGAAAAACUAAUCGGACUCUAAUGUCGUUCAAAUGCAUUUCAUAGAUCAAUCUUCAUCGUCGUAUCCUAAUUUUCAAAACUUGUUAGAACUUCUAAACUUAGUCAAUAUGUAUAGACAUGAUAUCCUCCAUGAUUUUUUUUUAUUGCAACGAAAAAAAGUUAUACAUUCUAUAUUUGAUCCCUAAAUAAAAAAGAAAAAAAGAAAAAAAAAAGAAUGUCUUGCAAAAAUAUUAGGGUUGCACAAAGUUUGGUUGUUAGAAUAAGUAAAAAUGAUGUGCAUCAAAAUAUGUCUUUGAGAAUGGCAAAUAUGUGAGUGCGCUUUAAAAACUCAAAUGGCUUCAAAUGAAUUUCAAGGAAAUGAUUCCAACAUAUAUUCAUCUUCUUAUACCUUUCUGUGCUUCUCCACCAUUUGUAACAAUUUCCUCACUCAUUUGUAAUCCUAAUAAACCUUCCGACCUAUUUUAAAAUUUGUCAAUAUAUUUUAAGCUAAGCUCACCAUCUAUAGUAUCAAAAAAAUUUCUCCUUAAUCCAUGUGGGAUAUGUAUAAUGAAUAAUAUUUGCUCAAAGGUUAAAUAUAUGAAAAUAAUUAAGAUUCAAUCACAUAAAAAUUACAUAUAGCAAGUAGGGAUAACAAUUUUGAUACUAAUAUAAUAAAACGACUAAAAAAUUACAUGGAUUUUAGUAGUUUUGGGUUAAGUAUAAUCAUAUUUAUGUUAUAAUUGUGUAAACACAUUUAUUAAACCAAUGAUAUUGGAAUGUGACUAUUCAACUCAUUUAACCCAUUUAUUUAUUCAUAUCAAAACACAUCUAUGAUAUGAUUAUGAGAACUAAUUUAUGAUUGACAUAACCAAUUUAUAACUUAUUAAUUAAUUCAUAUAAAUUUAUUAAUUUUAUAGAUAUUUAAAAAAUAUUAAAAAUUUAAAACACUUUUUCAAUUAUAAAGAUGUCCUAUAAAACACUAAGGAGGUCACCCUUAUUUAUAUAUGAAAUUAGGGAAUUAAAUUUGAAAUAUAUGAUAUUUGAUUACUUAAUUUAAAGAAUUUGAUUUCUUAAUUUCAAUAACUUUUCAGCCUCAUUUAAGAAAUUUGCCAACAAUCAAAUGUUUUUUCUAAGUCCCUUUUGACUUCAAUUUCCCAAUUUGUUUCUCCUAUUUGAGAAAUCUAUCAAUAAGAAAAUAUUUCUCUCUAAUUCCUUUUUAACUUUAAUUAUUUUAUUUUAUUUUAUAAGACUAGAUUUUGAAACCGUUCAAAUUUUACCGUGUGUUAUUUUUAAAAUCGUAUAUCGCAUGUUCAAUGUGUAGAAUUCAUGACUUAUGAAAUCCAAAUUUUAUUGAACUAUAGGGUUAUAACUUUAGUGACAAAUUUUAUAGUAAUUUAAUCCUUCUUUUAUUUUUAAGCCUACAUAGCUCAACAAGUUGAAUAUAUUUUUAUCGUGUUAAUGGGUUAUCAGUCUUGAUUUAAUUUAAUUUAUCAAAGAGGUUAAAUGAAUGAUUCCCAAUUUGCCACCACAAUAACAAGAGACAACAGACAGAAGGAAAGAGAAACUAAAAUACGUAAUGUGACUUUUCCUUUCAUGUUGCUUACUAUACUUGGUGUCUCUUAAUUUGUUUUUAUUAUAAGAUGUUAAUAAUAUGAUUUUAUUGAUUUAUACCCCAUAUAUAUCAUUUGAGGGAUUGAAAAUAUUGCAAAUUCAUAAUUAAAUUUAAAAGAUAAAUACAUAUACACACACACACAUAUAUAUAUAUAUAUAUAUAUAUAUAUAUAUAUAUAUGAAUAAAAAAAAUCAUCUAUGUAUAAAAUAAUAAUAAGUAGUCUAUUUUUAUCAUUUUUAUGUUAGAAGUUAAUCGAAAACAUAUUUUUUGUUUUUCCAUAAUUUAUACAAAAUUAUAAUAAAAUUUUUAUUCUAGAUAAAAUUAUAUUUUAUAAUUUGUAAUAAUUUAAUUAUAUCAAUUUAAUAUUUUGAUAUCCGUCGUAAAUUAUAUAGAAAUAUUGGAGUGCAAAUACUAAACUACAUAAUAACAACAAGACACCUUAUUCAUCCAAAUUUUCAAAUUUCAAAUAGAAAAUAUUAAAAACAUAAUUUUUAAAUUUAUUAAAAUAUUUAUAUUUGUAAAAAAGUAAUUAAUAAAGAUUUUAAAAUUUUAAAUAUGAUUAAUGAGAUUAUUAUGUGGGUAUUUAUUACUAAUAUUUAAUAUUAAAAAAAAUAAAAUAACAAUAUGAUAUUAAGAUUAUAUUUUUAUAAAUAUAGCAAAAUGAGAUUAUUCUAAAUUCAGUGAUGAUAACAUUAUAGUAAAAAUAAGGAGUGAUAUAAUUAUAAAUAUUUCACUAAGAGCAUAAAAAAUAAAAAAAUAUGGUAAAUUUAGCGAGUAAUAUUGUUACUAUAAAUAUCUGGUGACACGACGACAGAUAUAUGAGUAGAGAAAAACCUCGCUAUUCUACAUAUAGAGAUUCAGAUACCAUUGCCUAUGUCAUGAAAUCAGAGUCCACAAGAAGACAACAUAAAAUGCUAUCGAUCCAUCGCUGUUUCUUGCUCCUGUUAUAAAUUAUGGAUACUAGAUGAAGAUGAGAAGUAGAAGGAGAAGAAACACUUAGCUUUCAAGGAGUCGUAGAGCAGAGGAGGAGACAUGGCUCAGACAUGUGGGUGCAGCUCUGGAGAUAGUAGAUGGUUUCUCAAGGGAAUGACUGCUCUUGUAACCGGUGGAACUAAAGGAAUUGGGUUGGUGUUACCUGUUUUUACGUCUUUGGGUUUGGACUACACCUUCCUAUAUAUAAACGUAUGUAUCAAUUCUGCAGGCAUGCAAUUGUGGAGGAACUGGCUGGAUUAGGAGCAACCAUACACACGUGUUCUCGAAAAGAAAGCGAGCUCAAUGAAUGCUUAAAGGAUUGGAAAGCUAAAGGUUUGGAGUGAGUGGUUCAGUGUGUGAUGUAUCCUCUCGGGCCCAAAGGGAGAAGCUAAUGGAGACUGUCUCUUCUGUGUUCAAUGGGAAGCUGUAUAUCCUUGUAAGUUCCUCUAGUCUCUAAGGUUCCUAUCCAUGAUAUUCCACAUACUUUGUCGAACUUCCUACAAUUUGAGUUCCCCUACUUGAUAUAUAUAUAUAUAUAUAUAUUAUAUACUUUUUUUUAGAACCAGACAGCUUUGGUUUCAAAGACCCUACAUUUACCCAUCAUCCUUGUUAAAUAAUUAUGAGGAAGUCAUACUUACACGUGGAGAUUGAAAAAAAUAAUGAAUGAAUUCCACCAAAUGAAUUAAUUUUGUUUGGCAAUUUCAUUUGAAAAUCAACAAAGAAUGAUGUGAGGUGUGAAUCUUUUUCCAUAUAUCAGCGCACAUAUUCAAAUUCAGCCCUUUCCAUUAAUCUGAUAGCGAUUAUGAGGUUGCGUAGAUGCUACAACAACGACCAAAUGUGAUGAAGAUUUCAGGAAGUGUUGUGAAGAAUUUGAAGAAAAAUAUGAAGAAUUUGAAACAAAAUAUGGAGGAACACCUCAAUUCAUUCUGUGAUACCUUCCUUUACAAUGAAUGAAAGCAUAAAUAAAUAGCCUACGGAUAUGAGACAAUUCCGGAAUGGAAUUUCCCUUACAUGGAAAGUGAAUAAACUCUUACAUGGGAAGUGAAUAAACUACUCUUACAUGGAAAGUGAAUAAACUACCUUGCUAGAAUUACUCCUAAAUAUAUAAACUACUCUUACAUGGAAAGUGAAUAAACUACCUUGCUAGAAUUACUCCUAAAUCAAUUAUAAUAAAGGCUGUACAUUACACUAAUUAGGGAAGUAAACAGAGGAUGCUGGCUUGAUUUCCAACACUCCCCCUCAAGCCGCAUUGUAGAUGUUGAUCAUUCCAAGUUUUUCUGUCAGAUCUUCGAAGUUAACUCGAGCAAGAGCUUUUGUGAGAAUGUCAGCCGUUUGACAGUUUGUCGGAGUGUAGCUGACUUUGAAAACUCCUUCUUCAAUCUUUUCCUUGAUAAAGUGUCGAUCUAUCUCCACGUGCUUAGUUCGAUCAUGAUGAACCGGAUUCUUAGCGAUACUGAUGGCAGCUUGAUUGUCGCAGUAUAACACCAUGGGAUGCUUCAAUGGAACCCGUAAUUCUUCUAACAGCCUGUUCAACCAGAUUCCCUCGCAGAUACCUUGUGCCAUAGCACGAAAUUCUGCCUCAGCACUGCUACGGGCUACCACUGACUGUUUCUUGCUUCGCCAUGUAACCAAGUUCCCUCAGACAAAUGAACAAUAGCCUGAAGUUGAUCUCCGAUCAGUCACUAAACCUGCCCAAUCUGCAUCUGAAAAAAUCUCUAUCUCUUUAUUUGUUGUUCUUUGAAAGAAGAGACCCUUUCCCGGUGUCAUCUUGAGGUAUCUCAAUAUUCUGAUCACAGCAAUCAUGUGUUUUUCGGUUGGAUUAUUCAUGAAUUGACUUACCACACUAACGGAGAAGCCGAUGUCUGGCCUUGUAUGAGAAAGAUAGAUGAGUUUCCCCACAAGACGUUGAUAUCUUCCUUUAUCAACUGGCGCACUUCCAUCACAUUUCUUCCANNNNNNNNNNNNNNNNNNNNNNNNNNNNNNNNNNNNNNNNNNNNNNNNNNNNNNNNNNNNNNNNNNNNNNNNNNNNNNNNNNNNNNNNNNNNNNNNNNNNNNNNNNNNNNNNNNNNNNNNNNNNNNNNNNNNNNNNNNNNNNNNNNNNNNNNNNNNNNNNNNNNNNNNNNNNNNNNNNNNNNNNNNNNNNNNNNNNNNNNNNNNNNNNNNNNNNNNNNNNNNNNNNNNNNNNNNNNNNNNNNNNNNNNNNNNNNNNNNNNNNNNNNNNNNNNNNNNNNNNNNNNNNNNNNNNNNNNNNNNNNNNNNNNNNNNNNNNNNNNNNNNNNNNNNNNNNNNNNNNNNNNNNNNNNNNNNNNNNNNNNNNNNNNNNNNNNNNNNNNNNNNNNNNNNNNNNNNNNNNNNNNNNNNNNNNNNNNNNNNNNNNNNNNNNNNNNNNNNNNNNNNNNNNNNNNNNNNNNNNNNNNNNNNNNNNNNNNNNNNNNNNNNNNNNNNNNNNNNNNNNNNNNNNNNNNNNNNNNNNNNNNNNNNNNNNNNNNNNNNNNNNNNNNNNNNNNNNNNNNNNNNNNNNNNNNNNNNNNNNNNNNNNNNNNNNNNNNNNNNNNNNNNNNNNNNNNNNNNNNNNNNNNNNNNNNNNNNNNNNNNNNNNNNNNNNNNNNNNNNNNNNNNNNNNNNNNNNNNNNNNNNNNNNNNNNNNNNNNNNNNNNNNNNNNNNNNNNNNNNNNNNNNNNNNNNNNNNNNNNNNNNNNNNNNNNNNNNNNNNNNNNNNNNNNNNNNNNNNNNNNNNNNNNNNNNNNNNNNNNNNNNNNNNNNNNNNNNNNNNNNNNNNNNNNNNNNNNNNNNNNNNNNNNNNNNNNNNNNNNNNNNNNNNNNNNNNNNNNNNNNNNNNNNNNNNNNNNNNNNNNNNNNNNNNNNNNNNNNNNNNNNNNNNNNNNNNNNNNNNNNNNNNNNNNNNNNNNNNNNNNNNNNNNNNNNNNNNAUGCAUGAAACGUAGGUGAUAGCUUAUCAUAAGAAAAUAAAAUUUCCAAAUGGGAUGCUGAGUGCAUGAUCUAACUCCUUUCCUCCAAGCUAUGGGCAUAUUAAGAAUAUCAUUUUCUAACUCGGAAUCAACAGUACCAUCAGGAGCGUUGUUACCUGGAAGUUUGCUUGGAUUAGGACCCGGUUCUGCCUCAUGGGUUUGUUGAGAAAGUGAUCUUUCCUCCGUUUCCUCUUGGAUGUGCUCCUUAUCCCACAAGUCAACAAUGGACUCGGGUUGAUUAAAUGACUCUGGAGGAAUGUGAUUUUCAGUGGUGAUGGGUGACUCACUGAAUGACUCAAGAUCCCAAAAUUGAUAUUCCUGAGUUGAAUUCUCCCCCUGAAUAUCGUUUUUGGGAUAGUAAGGCUGGGUUUCAAAAAAGGUGACAUCCAUUGAAUUUUAGAAUUUUCUUGUGACCGGAGAGUAACACUUAUACCCUUUUUGAUUUGAAGAAUACCCAAGAAAGAUGCACUUGAGUGACCUAGGAUCAAGUUUACUUCUAUGUUGUUGAUUGAUAUGAACAAAGAUAGAGCACCCGAAAAUUUUAGGUGGGACGGUGGAGAUGAGACGAGUAGUCGGAAAGGAUUUUAGGAGUGUUUGACAAGGUGUUUGGAAUUUUAGUACCCUAGACGGCAUCCUAUUGAUGAGGUAGGCUGCCAUAAGGACAGCUUGCCCCCAGAAUAAUUUUGGAACAUUCAUGGAGAACAUUAGUGAUCUAGCCACCUCUAACAAAUGCCUAUUUUUCCUUUCAGCGAUUCCGUUUUGUUGUGGGGUAUCAACACAUGAAUUUAAGUGAACUAUCCCUUCUUGUGCUAGAAAUUCUCCUAGAAUGGAGUUGAAAUAAUCCCUAGCAUUAUCAGACUUUAGAAUUUGUAUUUUUGACUGGAAUUGAGUCUGAAUCAUAUUUUUAAAAUUUUUGAAAAUUUGACUCGUUUCAGAUUUUUCUUUCAUGAGGAAUACCCAAGUUAAUCUAGUGUGAUCAUCUAUGAAUGAGACAAACCACCUAGUACCAGUUACAUUUUUUAUUCUUGAUGGACCCCAGAUAUUGCUAUGAAUCAUUGAGAAUGGACUAGACUCUUUAUAGGGUUGAAUGGGAAAAUGAGACCGGACUUGCUUUGAUAAUUGACAGAUUUCACACUCAAAGGAUUUUGGAUUUUUAUUAAAUAAUGAAGGAAAUAAAUGCUUGAGAUACAUAACAUUUGGAUGACCUAAGCGAUAGUGCCACAACCUAAUUGCACUAUCGUUAUUUUGACAUGAAACCAAAAAAGAAUUACUACCAACUGUCAUUUGAGGUUGUUCUUGUGGAUCGUGGCGCUCCUUAAGGAUGUAGAGUCCAGAGCAUUCCUCAGCAUUGCCAAUCGUCUUCCCCGAAUCCAAAUCCUGAAAUUCACAGUGAGUGGAGGAAAAAUUAGUAGAUACACCUCUUUUCCUUAGUGAGUUUACUAANNNNNNNNNNNNNNNNNNNNNNNNNNNNNNNNNNNNNNNNNNNNNNNNNNNNNNNNNNNNNNNNNNNNNNNNNNNNNNNNNNNNNNNNNNNNNNNNNNNNCGUCAUAUGAUCAGAUGCUCCUGAGUCCACUAUCCAAGGUUUUUUACGUUUCUUACCAGCAGUGAAGGCACUCAAAAAAUUACCUUUGUGAGCCAAGGUUCCGGAACCAAUGACCUGGUUGGAAGAUGAGCCAGUUUGUGACUGUACUGACAAAAGAGGAGACAGUAGUUUCUGAAGCAUCUCCAUCUGAUGAGAGGAUGAAGACGAUGAGAUGAUGAUAUCAGAAGUAGAGGAUGAUGAGUUGGUAGCCAUUCCAAAGGCUGGACCGUAUUUAGGCAUAAAUUAGAAGAAUAGAAUUGAGUAAAAAAAAACUGACUAAAGAUGAAGACGAUGAGACAGGAUUAAACCUGCUCUGAUACCAUGAAGAAUUUGAAGAAAAAUAUGAAGAAUUUGAAAACAAAAUAUGGAGGAACACCUCAAUUCAUUCUGUGAUACCUUCCUUUACAAUGAAUGAAAGCAUAAAUAAAUAGCCUACGGAUAUGAGACAAUUCCGGAAGGGAAUUUCCCUUACAUGGAAAGUGAAUAAACUCUUACAUGGGAAGUGAAUAAACUACUCUUACAUGGAAAGUGAAUAAACUACCUUGCUAGAAUUACUCCUAAAUCAAUUAUAAUAAAGGCUGUACAUUACACUAAUUAGGGAAGUAAACAGAGGAUGCUGGCUUGAUUUCCAACAUGUUGGAGUGCGCAUGCUUGAGGAUGAAAACUGUGAACUUGAAAUGACUUAGAAGAUUAAUUUAAGUUUUCAAAUACAUAAAAUAUAAUUAAUAACAUAACUUAAUACAAUAAGUUAAGGCUUCCUAAAGUCUUAAAAUAAAUAACUUUUUCCCAACCUGAAAUAUCCUUUGCCUUGGUAAUAUUCAUGUUCUUCAAGAUCAAAAUUAGUUUGUUUGAUAUAUAAUUCAAAUUAAAAGAUGGAGGGUGUGCCGGGUCCUUUCUAAAUUCAAAAUGGCAUCAUGAAUCAGGUAAGGUUGUGCCCCACGGAUGAAAAUAUAGUAUUAGUUUGGACAAUGUGCCAUGGAAAGAAGAUAGAUUAAGUUCUACAUAUUCAUAUCAGUUGUCUCAGCUUUCACGGCAGACAUUUUCGACGCAAGAGACCGUCUCUUGCGGUGAGUAUUAACCACACUUCUAAAGUUGGAUGUUCGAGAAGACAACUGGGAUUGAUCAGUUUUGUCUCUUUUAUUUUCAGCUUCCUAGAAUCUCUCUCUCUAUCUCUCUUUUUUUUUUCUCAAGGUUAAUGUCAUUUUCUAUGUUGUGGUAGAGUAGAGAAGAACUCAGAAGGCAUGGCACAGACUGGCUGCAGCAAUGGAGAUAAUAGAUGGUCUCUCAAGGGAAUGACAGCCCUUGUAACGGGUGGAAUGAACUUUGAUCUGUCUCUGCCAAUUAUCACCUUGUUUUUAUAUCAAUUCUGCAGGCAUGCUGUUGUGGAAGAACUGACUGGAUUAGGUGCAAGAAUACAUACAUGUUCUCGAACAGAAACUGGGCUUAAUGAAUACUUAAGGGAUUGGGAGGGUAAAGGUUUUGAAGUCACUGGCUCAGUCUGUGAUGUAUCCUCUAGGGCCCAAAGAGAGAAGCUAAUGGAGACAGUAUCUUCUAAGUUUAAUGGGAAGCUGAAUAUCCUUGUUAGUUCCUCUAGUUUGUUAAAUGUGACCCAUCCAUUUUAGAAUCAUUUUCACUAAAUAUAAUUGAUGAGUUACCCUAACUGAAUCUUUGAAUUUAGAUCAACAACGCUGGAACUGGCAAACCGGGACGGACAGUGGAGUUCGCAGCUGAAGAGUUCUCAACGGUCAUGGCUGUAAAUUUUGAAUCUGUGUAUCAUCUAUGCCAACUUGCGCAUCCCCUUCUGAAGGCCUCAGGAGCGGGAAGUAUUGUGCUCAUGUCUUGUGUUUCAGGUGUAGUAUCACUCAAGUAUCUAUCUGCCUAUGGAGCAACCAAAGGUACUUCAUGCCACCAUCGGGUUUAUGUUGCAGGUCCUGUGUUGUUGGACAAGAUGAUAGAUAUUUACCUUUAAAAUUUUUCUUUCGGGGGCACUGAAUCAGCUUGCAAAGAACUUGGCAUGCGAGUGGGCGCAAGACAAUAUCAGGACAAACUCUGUUGCCCCUCGGUACAUCAAAACUUCUCUGGUAGAACCUGUGAGUUUAAUUCCCUUCACCUCAUUUAAAAGUUGCUGUUGUUUUCAUUGGGAAAACUGAUUAAUAAACCAAUCUUCUGUUUUGUUUUCUUUUAUUUUUUUGGUUGUAUCAUUUUGGUUUCAGUUUCUUAGUGAGAAAAGCUUUACGGAAGAGGUAAUAAGAAGAACUCCGCUUGGUCGAGUGGGGGAUCCAAAGGAGGUGUCAUCCUUGGUAGCAUUCCUCUGCCUACCAGUAUCAUCUUACAUUACUGGCCAGACCAUUUGUGCUGAUGGUGGGAUGAAUGUUAAUGGUUUCGAUCCGAGUCAAUGCUAGAAACAACUAGCAUUUAUAUAAUUGUUGUUUUCUCAUAUUUUUCAUACUCACUCUAAUAUUCUUCAUUAUCAUAUUUAUAUAUAUAUAUAUAUAUAGAUAUAUAUAUAUAUUUAUGUAGGUGUACGUGCACACGUGUGUUCAUGUGCGGAUCAUGGACAUUUUUUUUGUAUUCUGUCAUAUUCUUCUUACACUCUCAAAAUAUUCAUAUAUUUUUUACAAUCUUCAUGCAUUUUUUUUUUUUAAUUCUUGAUAUUCUCUCAUAUUCUUUGUAUAAUUUAUAUUGGAAAAAUGAAUAAAAAAAAUAUGGUUUAAAAUUGAUAAAAUAAGAAUAAAAGAUAUAAAAAUAAAAUAAAAUGAUAGAAAAAUAUCAAUAUUAGAGGAAGAUAUACUUGGAUAAUUAGACGCUAAAACCUUGAAGAUGCAAACAUAGUAUGUGGCUAUUUAAUGAGGAACUUAAGGAAUUUGUUCAAUAAUAGUAGCUACCAUGGGAUUAAAGGAUAGUGUAAACGAGUCCGAGGGAGAAACAAUUUUAAUAAAAAAUUAAUUAAAAAUUUAUAUAUUUGUAAUAAAAAUUUGAAAUAAGUUAAAUUAAUUUAAAAUGAUAUAUAAAAAUGAUUUACUGCUUUAAAUCUAUUUUUAUUUUUUAUUUUUUUUUCAUUUCUUUUUUACUUUUUCUUUAUAUAUAUAUAUAUAUAUAUAUAGAUAUAGAUAUAGAUAUAUAUAUUAUAUAUUUUUUUGAGAACCAGCCAGCUUUGGUUUCAAAGACCCUACAUUUACCCACCAUCCUUGUCAAAUAAUUAUGAGGAGCUCAUGCUUACAUGUGGAGAUUGAAAAAAAAUAAUGAUUGAAUUCCACCAAAUGAAUUAAUUUUGUUUGGCAAUUUCAUUUGAAAAUCAACAAAGAAUGAUGUGAUGUGUGAAUCUUUUUCCAUAUAUCAGCGCACAUAUUCAAAUUCAUCCCUUUCCAUUAAUCUGAUAGCGAUUAUGAGGUUGCGUAGAUGCUACGACGACGACCAAAUGUGAUGAAGAUUUCAGGAAGUGUUGGAGUGCGCAUGCUUGAGGACCAAAACUGUGAACUUGAAAUGACUAUUGAAUGCUACCAUAUGAAAUUCGGCCUGAAUCUUUUUCCAAUUCAAAUGCAGGCAGUUCCAUUAAUUUGAUAGAUAUUAUGAGGUUGCCUAUCAUGCUAAGAUAACCAAAUCCGAUGAGAAGUUCAAGAAGUGUUUUGAGUGUGUUUUAGUACUGACACCAUGAAUUCAAAAACAAAUAUAACAUAGAAACACAAAUCAAAACCCAUCACAUGAUGAUAUAGUCGAUAGGAAAUUUGCUUUCUUAAACCAUGCCACGUCCCAUGAAAAAGAAAAUUAAGAAAAUUACAAAUUUUACUUCGAUGGGCUCACAUGCUAUGUGAACCGUCCACUUAAUCGAGGUUAAGAUUAUCUUCAUUUACUUAGAAGAUAAUAAUGAAUUUUUCAAGUAAAAUUUUUUGAGAACCAGACAGCUUUGGUUUCAAAGACCCUACAUUUACCCAUCAUCCUUGUUAAAUAAUUAUGAGGAAGUCAUACUUACACGUGGAGAUUGAAAAAAAUAAUGAAUGAAUUCCACCAAACGAAUUAAUUUUGUUUGGCAAUUUCAUUUGAAAAUCAACAAAGAAUGAUGUGAGGUGUGAAUCUUUUUCCAUAUAUCAGCGCACAUAUUCAAAUUCAGCCCUUUCCAUUAAUUUGAUAGCGAUUAUGAGGUUGCGUAGAUGCUACGACGACGACCAAAUGUGAUGAAGAUUUCAGGAAGUGUUGGAGUGCGCAUGUUUGAGGACGAAAACUGUGAACUUGAAAUGACUUAGAAGAUUAAUUUAAGUUUUCAAAUACAUAAAAUAUAAUUAAUAACAUAACUUAAUACAAUAAGUUAAGGCUUCCUAAAGUCUUAAAAUAAAUAACUUUUUCCCAACCUGAAAUAUCCUUUGCCUUGGUAAUAUUCAUGUUCUUCAAGAUCAAAAUUAGUUUGUUUGAUAUAUAAUUCAAAUUAAAAGAUGGAGGGUGUGUCGGUCCUUUCUAAAUUCAAAAUUGCAUCAUCAAUCAAUCGGAUAAGGUUGUGUCCGACGGAUGAAAAUGUAAUAUUAGUUUGGACAAUGUGCCAUGGAAAGAAGAUAGAUAGAUUAAGUUCUACAUAUUCAUAUCAGUUGUCUCAGCUUUCACGGCAGACAUUUUCGACGCAAGAGACUGUCUCUUGCGGUGAGUAUUAACCACACUUCUAAACUUGGAUGUUCGAGAAGACAACUGGGAUUGAUCAGUUUUGUCUCUUUUAUUUUCAGCUUCCUAGAAUCUCUUUUUUUUUUUUUUCUCAAGGUUAAUGUCAUUUUCUAUGUUGUGGUAGAGUAGAGAAGAGCUCAGAAGGCAUGGCACAGACUGGCUGCAGCAAUGGAGAUAAUAGAUGGUCUCUCAAGGGAAUGACGGCCCUUGUAACGGGUGGAACUAGAGGAAUCGGGUCCGUGUUACCUGUUUUUCUGUUCUGGAAUGAACUUAAUUUGAUCUGUCUCUGCCAAUUAUCACCUUGUUUUUAUAUCAAUUCUGUAGGCAUGCUGUUGUGGAAGAACUGACUGGAUUAGGUGCAAGAAUACAUACAUGUUCUCGAACAGAAACUGAGCUUAAUGAAUAUUUAAGGGAUUGGGAGGGUAAAGGUUUUGAAGUCACUGGCUCAGUCUGUGAUGUAUCCUCUAGGGCCCAAAGAGAGAAGCUAAUGGAGACAGUAUCUUCUAAGUUUAAUGGGAAGCUGAAUAUCCUUGUUAGUUAACCUCUAGUUUGUUAAAUGUGGCCCAUCCAUUUUAGAAUCAUUUUCAUUAAAUAUAAUUGAUGAGUUACCCUAACCGAAUCUUUGAAUUUAGAUCAACAACGCUGGAACUGGCAAACCGGGACGGACGGUGGAGUUCACAGCUGAAGAGUUCUCAAGUAUCAUGGCUGUAAAUUUUGAAUUUGUCUACCAUCUAUGCCAACUUGCUCAUCCCCUUUUGAAGGCAUCAGGAGCGGGAAGUAUUGUGCUCAUGUCUUCUGUUGCAGGUGUAGUAUCACUCAAGUAUUUAUCUGCCUAUGGUGCAACCAAAGGUACUUCAUUCUACCAUAGGGUUUAUGUUGCAGGUCCUGAGUUGUUGGACAAGAUGAUAGAUAUUUACCUUGAUAAUUUUGCUUCAGGGGCACUGAAUCAGCUUGCGAAGAGCUUGGCAUGCGAGUGGGCGCAAGACAAUAUCAGGGCUAACUCUAUUGCUCCUUGGUUCAUCAAAACUUCUCUGGUAGAACCUGUGAGUACCCUUCACCUCAUUUGAAGUUGCUGUUGUUUUCAUUGGGAAAACUGAUUAAUAAACUAAUCUUCUGUUUUGUUUUCUUUUAUUUUUUUGGUUGUAUCAUUUUGGUUUCAGUUUCUUAGUAAGAAAAGCUUUACGGAAGAGGUAAUAAGAAGAACUCCGCUUGGUCGAGUGGGGGAUCCAAAGGAGGUGUCAUCCUUGGUAGCAUUCCUCUGCCUACCAGCAUCAUCUUACAUUACUGGCCAGACCAUUUGUGUUGAUGGUGGGAUGAGUAUUAAUUGUUUCGAUCCAAGUCAAUGCUAGAAACACCUAGCAUUUAUAUUAAUAUAUGUUGUUUUCUCAAAACCGCUUCUGUUUUUGGGAUUAUUUGCUCGUGAUAGUGACCUUGUGGUCCUAGGAUUAAUGCAUGGUUACCAAAUAUUAAGUCUAUGCUUCCAAUAAAUAUUAAAAAAUUUCUUAUUAUUCAAUCACGGAUUUCUACCUUCUUCUCCGGUCAUAGAUACUGUUUAGGUCUCCGGUGCAUUCCCCGCUCACCCACCUACAUCUGAUUGGUUGCAACGUUCAAUCACGGAUUUCUUAUUAUUCAUAUAUCUUUUAGUACAUUUUUUCAAAUUCUUGAUAUUUAUUCGUAUUAUUUGUAUAAUUUAUAUAAGAAAAAAUGAUUUAAAAUAAAAAUAUAUGGUUUAAAAUUGAUAAAAUAUCAUGAAUAACGUUUUACAAUCCAUAAGAUACAAAAAUAAAACAAACUGAUAGAAAAAUAUCGACAUUGGUUAAAAAUAAUUAAGUUAAUCGCGAGUAUAACUAAAUCAUCUCAACUUGAUGAAUGAUAAAUUCAUUUAUAAAAAAAUUUAAAAUAAAAAACCUAUUAAUUAUUGAAAAUUCAAAUAUGAUUUGAUAUAAAUGUUUUGUUAUGAAAUUUACAUUUGUAUGAAAAAAUAGUAAACUUUUCUUAAGGUUCGUAGUCCCCUGGAAACAUUUUUUAGUAUUUUUUUCGAGAGGUACAAAUUUCUUGCUUACUUUAAUAUAUUUAAGACACAAAAUUUGACAUAUAUAUUUGAUCCAUCAAUCAAAACUCCCAUCCCACACACAUUUUGUAAAGUUAGAGCCAUUAGUUUUUAUAUUCAAUUUUUACCUCUUUUUUUGCAUAUUUUAAUAAGAAUAAAUUAGAUGUUGUAAUUUCUUAUUUUAAAUAAGAGUAUGAUACCACAUUAAACGAUAAAAUAAAAAUUGUAUAUAUGUGAAAUAUAUGUCAUUAUUCAUCUUGAUAUGUAUUAUACUGUUUACCUCUUCAACAAGUUUUGUAAAAUUUUUUGUUUUGUAGUAAGUAAAGUGUGGAGAGUUACCCUCAAAGACAUGGGAUUUAAAAGAAAUAAGAAAAAGAGAAAAAUGUCAAAUAUUUCUUAUUAUAAUCACUUGAAAAAUAAGUCCAAUACACGUGGAGUUGAAAUAGGUUUACAAUCAAAGGAAGUAAAAGAAAAAAAGAUAAACUAAUCUUUCCUUGCUCCAAAAAAGAAAGAUAAUAAUGUUGAUGUGGUAAAUAAAUUAAUAAUUUUAACAUCUCCCCACAAACUCAUAAAACUCAUAAUGCGGUUGUAAGAAGUAGUGAGAGCUUAAAUAAAUUAACUUACAAUAAAAUGAAGUAAAAGAAAAAAAUUAAUUUACCCUUACUCGAUAAAUCUUUAGUAUAUUAUUAUUAUUAUUAUUAUUAUUAUUAUUAUUAUAUCUCAAAGUCAAGAUUAUGAACAUGAAAAUUAAACAUAUCGCGCUUCAAUCUUGACAAGACUAAUAUAAAGUGAGGUUUUCCCCUUCUUAUUAUUAAUAUUAUUAUUAUCACUACUACGAUAUCUUUGUUUACACUAAAAUCUUUUCUUUAAUGCCCUCAAAGUCAAGAUUACGAACAUAAAAAGCAUGUCACACUUCAAUGUUCACAAGACUAAUACAAAAUGAGGUUUCCUCCUAAAUUUAUUAUUACCAUUACAUAUCUUUGUUUACACUAAAAUCCUAUCUUUAAUACCCUAAAAGUCAACAUUAGGAACAUGAGAAACAUUUCACUAUUUAAUGUUGACAUGACUAAUACAAAGUGAGGUUUCCCUAAAUUUAUUAUUAUUAUUACAUAUCUUUGUUUUCACUAAAAUCUUAUCUUUAAUACCCUAAAAGUCAAUAUUAGGAACAUGAGAAACAUUUCACAAUUUAAUGUUGACAAGACUAAUACAAAGUGAGGUUUUCCCCUAAAUUUAUUAUUAUUAUUACAUAUCUUUGUUUCCAUUAAAAUCUUAUAUUUAAUACCCUAAAAGUCAAUAUUAGGAACAUGAAAAGUAUAUCACACUUCAAUGUUGACAAGACAUUAUACAAAGUGAAGUAUUAUUUCCAUAAUAUCUUUGCUUACACUAAAAUCUCAUCUUUAAUAUCCUUGAAGUUAAGAUUAUGAGCAUGAAAAAUAUGGCAUACUUCAAUGUUGACAAGAUUAAUACAAAGUGAGGUUUCUUCGUCAAUUUAUUAUUAUUACUACAAUAUCUUCCUACACUAAAAUCUCAUCUUUAAUAGCUCAAAGUUAAUAUUACAAGCAUGAAAGUUCAACAUGCCAUCCUCCAAUCUUAACAAGGCUAAUACAAAUUGUGAUUUCCCUAAUUUUUUUUCCAUUGUCUUUCUUUUUCUUGUACCUGUUGUGAUCGAUUUAGGUCACAAGCCAAAUAAUUGCAAGAAAAUGAACUCACACGUGAAAAUUGAGAAGGAUGAAAUAUUCUCUAACAUUGCACACUCUUAGAAGAAAAAUCAUUUGGUUGACAAUUUUAUUUGAGACUAACAAAUUGACGGAAGGACAUGAUGUGAGGCCAGCUUGUAUAUGCUUUUAUUCAAAUCUAGCCACAUGAUGAAUCCUACAAACUCCUUUCCCAUUUUUUUAUUGCAAUGUUUUAAAUGAUGCCACGUACCUAAAUUCUUGAAAUUUUGAGUCAGUUAAAGACAUGUCUGGAUGGCAUGGAGGAGAGUUAGGGGGCUAUUCGGCUUGUACCCCUUCAAAUUCAGCCUGCUCCAUUAAUUUGAUAGCUAUCGUGAGGUUGCCUAUGAUGCUAAGAUAACCAAAUGUGAUGAGGAUUUCAAAAAGUAUUCGAGUGUACUUCAGUACCAAAUCUGUGAAAUGAUUAUUGAAUGCUACCUAAUUUUGUUUGAAAUUUUCAUUUGAAAUUAAAUAAAUAAAUAUGUGAGGCCUAAAUCUUUUUCCAUCAUAUUGUACUCAUGUUCAAAGUCUGCCACUUCCAUUCAUUUGACAGCUAUAAUGAGGUUGUCUAUGAUGCUAAAAAUGACCAAACGUGAUGAUGAUUUCAAGAAGUAUUCCAGUAUAUUUUAAUUGGCAAUGUUUUAAAGAUAGGUAUCAUUCAUCCUAAAAAUUCAUCCAUUCAUGUUCAUUGCAUGGUCGAAAUGUUAUUAAACAACUAACAUUAUAAAUAUAUAAUUUAUAUUUUAUUAAAAUUAAAAAUAAUUUUUAAAAACUAAUAUGUAUAUAUAUAUAAUUAAAAACCAAUUAUAUUUAUUUUUUAAUCUUUUAUAUAAAUGUACUAAUAAUUAAAAUUUUAUUAAAUAAAAUAUGUAAAAUUUGAAAAUUGAAUAAAAUUUGCAUUAUAUAUAUAUAAAAGUUUAAAAGAUACUAGAUUAUUUUAUUCAUAUUGAAUUUCUGAAAUAAUAUACAUAUUUUUUUCUUUAGUUUCACAAACAUUAACAUUUGGAUAAGUAGCUGAGUAGUUGUUCCUGAAAAUGCUCAAGCACAUAUUAGCAAGAAUGAAGAAUUUGUUUCUAUUCUUUCAUAUUUUACAGUAGACCAAUGGCUAUAUAUAUAUAUUACAAUGUAACUAAUCUAACCAUCUAUUGAACUACCUAACCAUCUUCUAACUAAUCAUAACAACAUCUGUUAGAGAGGAGAAGAAUCAGCUGCUGGUGCGGGUGCUUGUCUAUCAUCCCCCCGCAAGCUGACAGGUCUUGGGACAAUAGAGAAAUGAGUACGAGCGGCUGAGAACUAACAGCUUGGAACAUAUUUAGUAAAGACAUCUGCCAACUGGUCGGUAGAAGGAACAUAUUGAAUUAAAAGCUCUUUGCGAAUGACCUUAUCACGGACAAAGUGAAGAUCAAUCUCUAUGUGCUUGGAACGGGCAUGGAAGACAGAGUUAGCUGCAAGAGGAGCAGCACUGAUAUUGUCACACCAGAUCAAAGGAGUGUUCGGUUGAGGAAUGCACAACUCUUUGAUCAGAAACUGAACCCAGGAGACCUCAACAGCGAGAAAAGCAAGUGCCCGGUACUCCGAUUUUGCACUACUACGAGAGACGACACGUUGCUUGGUAGAGGACCAUGAGAUGAGAUUGGUGCAAAAAAAAAAGACAAAAGCCACUAGUGCUUCUUCUAUCAUCGAGACAUGAAGCCCAAUCCGCAUCGGUAUAGCCUUGAAGAGACCAAGAUGGUGAGGCAUGGAUAGAAAGACCAUGAGUAGCAGUACCUUUGAGAUAGCGAAGUAUGUGUUUAGCAGCUUGCAGAUGAGAAGUGAUAGGAUGAGCCAUGUAUUUACAAGCUUGAUUUACUGCAAAUGAGAUUUUUGGUCUUGUGAGAGUGAUGUACUGAAGAGCACCCACAAGACUGUGAUAGUGAGUAGCAUCAAGAGCAGAUAAAGGUUCUCCAUCUGCUGCUGAUAACAAUUUUCCCAAAGCACCAAGUGUGCUAGCAGAUUUGGCCCCAAGAAGAUCAGCACGCUCAAGUAGCUGAUGUAUGUAGCGUUGUUGAUUGAGAUGAAGAACAUGAGGAAGCCGGGUGACUUCAAUGCCAAGGAAGUAGCUAAUAUCUCCAAGGUCUUGAAGAGCAAAAUGGGAGCUAAGCUGAGAAAUGAUAUGAUGGACCUGUGGUGGAUUGUUGCCAGUAAUGAGAAUAUCAUCCACAUAGAUUGAGAUGAUGAUAAUAUCAGAUGCAGAGUGGAAAUAAAAUAAAGAUGCAUCAGCCCUUGAGCAUUGGAAUCCCAAUUGUAAGAGAAAGGAGCUGAGCUUGUGGAACCAGGCUCGAGGCGCUUGUUUAAGGCCAUAGAGAGCCUUCUGUAGACGACAAACAUGAGUGGGGCAAGAGCUAUCUUCAAAGCCUAGAGGUUGCAUCAUGAACACCUGUUCUUAAAGAUCUCCAUUUAAAAAAGCAUUGUGGACAUCUAGUUGUUUAAUAGGCCAGUUGGAAGAGACAACAAUGGAGAGAACAAGCCUGAUAGUGCAAGGCUUCACAACUGGACUAAAUGUCUCAAAAAAAUCAAUGCCAUAGGUUUGAUGAAAACCUUGGGCAACCAGCUGAGCUUUGUACCUGUCAAUGCUGCCAUCAGGUUUAUGUUUGAGUUUGAAGACCCAUUUACACCCAAUAAUUUUGGCAUUAGAUGGAGGUGGCACCAAAGACCAAGUUUGAUUCUUCAAUAGAGCUUGAUAUUCUUGUUCCAUAGCAAGCUUCCAAUUAGGGUCUUGAAAAACCUGUUUGACAGUACGUGGCUCAGCUAUGAGUGAGGUAAGAUAGGUCUUCUUCUUAUAGAUACCAAAUUUGGAUCUGGUAAUCAUAGGAUGACUAGGAAUUGGAGCUAUGGAAUCCUGGAGGGAAGCAGUAGAAAUCUCAGCUGCUUCAUCCACAAAUGGCACCUGAAUGAGCGGGGGUAAAGACAAAAAGCUGGCUAGAGGUGAUGUGGGGGCAAGUUCGGAUGGGAUAGCCGGAGAAGAGCUGGUUGUGGAGGGGAAAAGAACAGAAGAUGGAGGAAAAAGAAAUGCUGGAGUGACAGGAAAAUGAGAUGAUUGGUGGGAAGGAGAAGUCAAUGCUUGAAAUGGAAAUGUAGUCUCUACAAAGACUACAUGCCUAGAGAUAUAUACUCUGCCAGUUGUAAGAUUAAGGCAAAAAUAACCCUUGUGAAAUGUUGCAUAACCAAGAAAGAUACAGGGUAUGGACUAUGGCUGAAAUUUGUUGGAGUUGAGAUGUCUGAGGUGUGGAUAACAAAGACAACCAAAGACUUUGAAAUGGAAAUAAUCAGGUGGGUGUUUGUAAAGAAGAGAAAAUGGGGAGCUGUAAUUGAGCAAAGGAGAAGGCAUGCAAUUGAUAAGGGUAAUUGUUGUAGUGAAAGCAUAGGACCAAAAUUUGGAUGGCAGGGCAGUUGUGUAAAGAAGAGUGAGCCCGAUUUCUACAACAUGGCGCAUUUUGCGUUCAACCCGACCAUUUUGUUCAGGUGUAUAAGGGCAAGAAAAUCUAUGGAGUAUACCAUGAAGAGAUAGAAACCGGAGGGUAGUGAACUUUCCACCAUGGUCUGUUUGAAGGCAUUUAAUGGUGGUCUGAAAUUGGUUUUCAACAAGAGUUUUAAAUUGAACAAAAGUGGAGUAAACCUGGUCCUUGGUGAGGAGUAAAUAUAUCCAUACAAACCUAGAGUAAUCAUCCAUGAGCAACAAAAAAUACCAGGCACCUGCGGAGGAAGGAACAGGUGUUGGUCCCCACAAGUUUGCAUGGAUGAGUUCAAGAGGAGAGGAGGCCCGGGAAGUGGACAAAGAAAAAGGAAUUUUGUGACUUUUGGCAUAACAACAAGCAUUGCAAACAUCAAUUGUUUUAUUUGAGUUAUAUGAAAUAUUACAUGUAUGAAAAAUUUUCUGAAGUAUUAUAGCAGAAGGGUGGCCAACUCGUUGAUGCCACAACAUAGUAGUGGGCUGAGUUUUUGUGAGAAACACUUGAUGUUUAGAAUUGGCAGUAGGUGAGUUGAUAGAUGAGGUAGGAAAUUUGUAGAGUCCACGUUCAAGUUGGCCUUGGAGAAGAGUCACUUUGGUAUCCUUGUCCUUGACAAAAAAUGAAAAAGGAUGAAAUUCAAGAAUGGUAUUAUUAUCAGUACAGAAUUUUGACACACUGAUGAGAUUUGAAGUGAGUUGUGGAACAUGAAGCACAUUGUGUAAAACAAAGGGUUUAGCAGAAAUGUGGAGAAAGGAAUGACCAACUUGGGUUAUGGGUAGGGACUUACCAUUGCCAACCAUCACAGAGUCAGUACCAUUGUAUGAAGUACCAUUGUGGAUAUUAGCAACUGUGUGGGAGAGAUGGUGGGUGGCGCUUGAAUCCAAAAACCAGGAGUCCGUUGAUGCUGGGGAAGGUGCUGCCAUCAUGGCUUGAGCAGGAGGAGUGGGACCAGUUUGAGAGGUUGAUGAGGCUGGUGCAUGUGGCCCUUGAUAAUUCACAUCAAAUCUGUGAUAACAAGAGAGGACCAUGUGCCCAAACUUGCCACAUAACUGACACUGUGGUUGGUUAUUUGUCCGGGAUCGAUUAUUGUUGAAUCGGUUAGGGCGAUAUCCUUGAGGAUGUUGCUGUCGUGAAUUUGGAAGAGUGUCAGGUCGUGGGGUUGGCAUGAAUGACUGAGGUGGUUUCCCUUGAGAGGGUUUGAUGGACUGUGACCUUCGUGGUCUGUUAUGAGUUGCAAUAUUGGCAAUGAGGAGGUCUUCUUCAGCAGUUGUGGUUUGAAGAUGCAGCCUCUAUUCAUGAGUCAGAAGGAUGCUAUGUACCGCAUGAAGUUGAAGGUCAUCAUCUCUAGCUGUGAGAGAAGCCAUGAUGGGGUUGUAUUCAACCCCUAGUCCACUUAGUAAUUGAAGAAUUUGAUCCUUUUCUGGCACUGGUUCUCCAAUAGCUGCUAGACUAUCAGAGAUGUGUUUGAGUUUUUGGAUGUAUUCCAUCAUGGUAAGAGGGCCUUUUUUGGUUGUUUGAAAAGCAAGUCUCAGCUGCAUUGUUCUUGCUUUGGUGGAAGCAGAGAAGCUUCAUUGGAGGGUUGUCCAUGCUUCAUGGGAUGUUCGUAGCCCAACAAUUUGGCCCAUAACAUCUGGAGUGAGAGAGGAGUAGAUCCAACUCAGGAUCAUACGAUCAUAUCUCCUCCAAACCAGAAAAUCUGGGUUCACUUCUCCGGUGGAUAUUAUUUUUGGAGGACAUGGUCUCAGACCUUCAAUAUAGUCCUCAAAUCCAUUGGCAUAUAUCACAUUUUCCAUUUGUGUAUGCCAAAGGAUAUAGUUAUCUCUAUCUAGUUUGAUAGGAAGAGGAUGGUUCAGCAUGCUCAUGUUCAGGGUAGAGGUUACCUGAGAAGAGACAAUCUCCGGCGUGGUUUGUGUUGAUGAAGCCAUCGGAAACUAGGUACAGUAUGUUCUUGAAGCUUUCUUGAGGUGAGUAAGAAAAGCAAAAGGUAAUCUGCAGAUGAUGUAUAUCAGAAGAAAGUUGCAGUAGAAAGAGUUGUUGGAGAUUUCUUUAUUGUCUUGCUGGGGAGAGAAAUCAAAAAACGAAAAUUCAUGAGCCUAUGGCUCUGAUACCAUGAAAAUGCUCAAGCACAGAUUAGCAAGAAUGAAGAAUCUGUUUCUAUUCUUUCUUAUUUUACAGUAGACCAAUGGCUAUAUAUAAAUAUUACAGUGUAACUAAUCUAACCAUCUAAUCAUCUAUUGAACCACCUAACCAUCUUCUAACUAAUCAUAACAGCAUCUGUUAGAGAGGAGAAGAAUCAGUUGCUGGUGCGGGUGCUUGUCUAUCAGUUCCAAGUUACCUUAAACCUUGAAAGGAUCAAGUCCUUUUGAUUUUGUUUAAAUAAGCUACUAAGCUACUGCUCACUCCACAUUGGAAAUUCAAGGGGAUGAAAAAAGGUUUAUAAAUCUCAUUCAUCUCCAACAGGUCACAUGGCCUUUAGGCCGUGGGAGGCAAUGCGGUGAGUGGGUCGUGUGCUCUAAAUGGAGGCCUAUUUUUGCAACAAAAGAAAGACCGAAACCAAACCAAGCAUGAACCAAAUCGGAUCAAGAUCCAGUCGACGGUCUGACUAGUUCAGUAGGAAUUUUUCAUAAUAUGGUUUAAUGGCAUGUAGAUAUUCUUUAGUCAAAGUUUUAAUAAGCCCAUCAAAAGUUGUAAUAUUUUAUGUUAUAAGUUAAUAGAGAAUAUUUUUUACUUUAAAUUUUUGUUGGUAUUUUCCCAUAAUCUAUAGUUAUUAAGGCAUUGAUAUUUUCUCAAAUUAUAGAAUUAAGUUCUAAAACAACAUUUAUUUUGACAUAGAUGAACAUUUGAAAGAUUAUAAUUUAUCUUUAACUUAUUUUUCUUUAUAACCAAAAUCUUUUCUCUCGAUUUUUCAUAAUAUUUGAUUAUGAUUAAUUAUUCAUGCAUACAAUCUAGGUCUGAAUCUAUUAUCUUCAACACUUAUUUUUAUUUUUUUAUGUCAUGUUUGAAAAUUUACUUUAGAUAGUAAGUCAAUAAAUGUUUCUAAAGGUAAAUGAGUGUUUGGUAUUAUGAUUCUUAGAUCUUGACUAGUAAGGGAUUCUUUAUAAUUUGUUCAUUUUAUUACUUGAGCUAAUUUAAUUCUCUAUUUAUUAAUUUCUUAUAUUUCAUCAUGUAAAUUUUGAAUAGUUAUAAGUUUGUGAAUAGUUUUGAAUCUAUUAAAUAUUUCAUCUAUAAUAUUGAUUAGAUUUGGGUUCUUGAAGUCUACUUAUCUCUUUAAUUUGUAAGAAUUAAAUCUUUUAAAUAUAACAAAUAUUGAAUUUUUAUGUUGAAUCCUCUAUUUUAUGACAUCAAAAAAUAUUUAUUUAUUUACUUUUGAAUAAAUCAUAUUUAUUAUUUUAUAUGAACAAACAUACUCACUUUCACAUUCAUUUUCAUCAUUAGAGUCUUCUAGACUAAUUAUAUUGGUUUAAUGUGUCUAGUAUUUGUGAUAAAUUUCAUAAAAAUAUUCAAGUGUAAAUAUUAAACUACAUAGUAUACUGUCACAUAUGACACAUUUCAAAUAGUAAAGACUAAAACCAUAAUUAAAGAUAACUUAGGUUUUAUUUUUUUUGUCAAAAAUAUUAUAAUUUUAAUUAAUUGAAUUAUUAAUUUUUCAAAAAUUUAGAAAAAAUAAAAAAUAGUAUUUUAAAAUUUGGCUCUCUUGAAAAUCAUGAGAGGAUAAAAAUUGGUAAAAAAAUAAAUAAAUUUAGAAAAGGUUAUUGAGAUUAAUUAAGUACAUCCUUGCCAUGAUAUUUAAUAUUUUUUUUAUGUUUUAUAAAUAGGGUAAAUGGACAUCGUUCUAAAUACAGGAAGAUGAUAUUAUUAUAUAUAAAAAAAAUGUAAAAAUAGUGAGUAAUAUUAUUAAAAAUAUCUCAUGGAAUGGGGCAAGAUAAAGGGCCAAAAAAAAAAAAAUUAGAGAAGAAAGAAGAAAAAGAAGAGUGUUGUAAGCACAGGAAGUCAAAAGUACUGUAUAAGCGUGAUUCAUCCCUGUUUCCUACUUCGAUUAUAAAGUAUGGACAGAGAUACAGAAAAAAAAAAAGAGAAGAAGCAGCAUUCAGCUUUCACCAGUGCAGAGUGGUAUGGUGGUGUAGCAUAUGUUUGGUUGUUAUUCUUGCUCCAAACAAGUGUGAGCUGAUCCAUUUCUAUACUCAUUUUUGUUAUCUCAGUCGACUGAUUCGUUUAGUGGGCCUGGUGUUAGCCAAAAGCUAGCCACCAAUUUUCUUUGCUUUAUCCCAUUACAUUAGAAUAAAAAGAAAAUGGAGGUUUGAGAGGGCCAUUGGGACCAUUGGGACCAUUAUCAGUUGUCUUUUGUUUUCAAGUUGUAAGAAGUCCUGUCAAGGUUUAUGUCAUUUGCUAUGUUGUUUCUGUUCCAUUUUCAGUUCAAAGAGUGGUAGAGUAGAGAAGGAGGCAUGGCUCAGACAUUUGGGUGCAGCUCUGGAGAUAGUAGAUGGUCUCUCAAGGGAAUGACUGCUCUUGUAACUGGUGGAACUAAAGGAAUUGGGUUGGUGUUACCUGUUUUUAUGUCUUUGGGUUUGGACUAUACCUUCCUAUAUAUAAACGUAUGUAUCAAUUCUGCAGGCAUGCAAUUGUGGAGGAACUGGCUGGAUUAGGAGCAACCAUACACACGUGUUCUCGAAAAGAAACUGAGCUCAAUGAAUGCUUGAAGGAUUGGAAAGCUAAAGGUUUUGGAGUGAGUGGUUCAGUGUGUGAUGUAUCCUCUCGGGCACAAAGGGAGAAGCUAAUGGAGACUGUCUCUUCUGUGUUCAAAGGGAAGCUGAAUAUCCUUGUAAGUUCCUCUAGUCUCUAAGGUUCCUAUCCAUGAUAUUCCACAUACUUUGUCGAACUUCCUACAAUUUGAGUUCCCCUACUUGAUAUAUAUAUUUUGGUUCCGGAUUCAGGUCAACAACGCUGCUAUUGUUAUUCAGAAACCAACAGUAGAGGUCACGGCAGAAGAGUUCUCAACAAUCAUGGCCAUAAAUUUUGAAUCUGUGUAUCAUCUGUCCCAACUCGCACACCCCCUUUUAAAGGCAUCAGGAGCGGGAAGCAUUGUAUUCAUCUCCUCUGUUGCCGGCGUAGUGUCAGUCAAGUAUCUGUCUGCUUAUGCAGUAACCAAAGGUAUUUCAUUACAUGAUCCACAGUAUAUAUAUAUAUCGCAAGUUCUUGGGUUGUGGCCCUUGUGGCCUUCUCGGCGUGUCAUUAUCAUUAUCAUUUUGUGAUUUUUCAGGAGCAAUGAAUCAACUUACAAAGAAUUUGGCAUGCGAGUGGGCGGAAGACAAUAUUAGAAGUAAUGCAGUUGCUCCUUGGUGCAUCAAAACUCCGAUGGUGGAUCAGGUAAUUCAGUUGCUCUUCUUUUUUGUCUGGGAAAAUUCAAUAAUCAAUUCCUCUCUCUUUUCUGUCUUUUGCAUAAUCUGGGUUGCAGAUGCUCAGUAACAAAACCUUUCUGGAAGGGGUGAUAAAUCGAGCUCCACUUCGCCGUGUGGGAGAUCCGAAGGAGGUGUCAUCUUUGGUGGCAUUCCUCUGUCUACCAGCAUCAUCUUACAUUACUGGACAGACUAUUUGUGUUGAUGGUGGCGUGACUGUUAAUGGUUUUGAGCCAAACCUGUUCUAGGAACAUCAUUAAGACUCUAAAAAAUCUUAGCUUCUUCUACCGCUUUCCUGUUUGGAUCCUGUCUUUUUCCUGAAUAAUAUGUUUGUGGUGGUAAGUACUCUUCUGUUUUUUCGGUGUGGGGUUCAUUUGAAAACAUUGUUGCAUGAUGCUUAUAAUAAUCGUUGGAAAGUUGGAAGAAGUUACUUAUCAUUGGAUGAGAUUCUUGUGAUGGGUGUUUCCUAUAAUCAGAUUUAUCUUGUUAUAAGGUUGUUGUUGUUGUAGUAAUAGGAUUGAAAGAGAAAUGCAAAUAAUCGUAAAAGGAUGAUGAAAAUUCAUCAUUUUUACUUAUUCAAAUAUUACACCAUCUCUAAUUUACAAUGAAUUUCAAUGAGUGCAAGUGAAACCAACCUUAAAAUAAUUUUGUUUGAUAAAUUUAGAUGAAAUUCAACCAGUGUGAAUCUUUAAAUUUUUUUUUUCAUUUCCAUUAAAGAUUAUUGUAAAUGAAAAAAAAUUAAAGUCAAAAAUACAUGUAGCAAUGAGACGAAGGAAAGCGGGUUCUAUCAUCUAUCACACAUCAUGGAAAAAGCUGUGGUACCAUGGCUUUUCCAGGACUUUUCCUUGCAUAAUGUUACCGUAUGCUAAUGUUUUGUCACUCAAAGAUAUUUUAAUAUAAAGUAGCGCGGAUAUACUAUAAACAUUCAGUUACGCCAUGUAACACGUUAGCCAAUAAGGUUACAAAUUUUAAUUUUAUAUUAAUAAUAUGAUUGGGUAUGCUCUAUAUUUUAAAAUAUAAUUGAAUCACAUAUAUCUAGAACUAGAAAUCCUUUUGAGGGACCAAUAACAUAAACCAUUAAAAUUUUAUAAUUUGAUAUUAUAAAUUCCUAUUAAAUUUUAAAAUAUAUUAAAUUUAUUUGAUAUAAAUAUAUAUAAAAAUAAAGAAAAAAUUUAUAUUUUCAUAUGAUAAAUUAUACAAAAGAAAAGCAAAUAUUUUUUUUUUAUCAAAAUUGUUUUCAACAAUAUUUCAAAUAUAUAUAUAAAUUUGGGAAACUUGUAUUUUGGAGCUGCUAUUUAGAAAUUAUAUGGUUUUCGGAACCCAAAAAUGGGAAAUAUGAGAAUCAAUUUUUAAUAUGAAAGGUAUUAUCGUUUUUGUGCACUCUGAGUCGGCUCCAUCUUUUGUGCCCAAAUUGUCCCUCCAUGUUUCCAACACAUUAUCUUAGCAUCAUUCCAACCUCCAUGUCAGUACGACCAUUGAAAUUUAGAAAAAAAAACACUAAAAUCUAAAUUUGUAACUUCUCAAAAA
This 38186-nucleotide long non-coding RNA is filed under the name Vitis vinifera (wine grape). Its description in RNAcentral is "long non-coding RNA (VVIN_LNC001744)". Lineage: Eukaryota; Viridiplantae; Streptophyta; Magnoliopsida; Vitales; Vitaceae. The record is from RNAcentral.